UCGCUUAUAAAAGUCAGAUCAAUAAGUUAUUUUUGUUAAAUUUGGGGAUACACGACUCGUGUCAGCAUGGUCUACAAAAAGAAUCAAUUUGUUUUCUUAAUAGCACUGAUGGUAUUUACCACUGCAGUUUGUUUUCCGAAAUAUAGAAAAGUUAGAGAUAACACUGUUGUUAAAACAAGCAACGAAUUUAGUGGCGAAGAUGUCAUUUAUUUGGAAAAGAGAUCACUAAACCUAAAAGGAAAUAAGUGUAAAAGGAACGAGAUUUAUAAUGCAGUAACGAAACAAUGUGAACCUAUAGAUCCAGAUAUAGGAACAGACGGCUGCUGUAAUGGUGGAGUCGGUAAAAAGUAAACCGUACCACUAUCUCAUUGCGUCAGUUAAAAAAACAGUUGAAGGAAUUAUACAAGAUCGAGACUAGCGAUAAACGCUCGUUAUACCCAGUUAGGAAUAUGACAGUACUUAUCCAUUCGUUGGAUGUGUUUGAUGUUUUUGAGCUUUUGAUUUUGCCAUUUGAUAAGGGACUUUCCAUUAUCAAUUUUCCUUAGAGUUCAGUAUUUUUGCGAUUUUACUUUUUACAUACAAAAGCAGUACACGAUAUUGCCCUGUAAGUGUCAAGUCCUGACUGUGUCAUAUUUAAAUAUUUAUGUUCCAAAUCAUUAUCUGUUUUUCUUAUUCUAGUAAAUGUGUAAAUAAGUCUUUUUUAUUCUAACUUUCUAGAGUAUUAAUUGAUGUGAUAGUGUGAUCUGUUUUCCAGUAACCUUGUAACCUUGUAUUUGUAAAGUUAAAUAAAGCAUUUUUUUAAAUUGUACUUUAAAAGAUGUCGUAUUGUGUAUACUAGUAGUGCUGCCCCACAUUUUUAAACAAUAAUGUUCACAUUAAAUGGCCAUGAACCUCAUUUAAAAGUGGUGUGCACCUUGCACAGAAAUUGUUCAGAUAGGAAUAUGAGGAAAAAUUAUCACAAAAGGGUUGACCGUUACCAUGAGUCUCUGCCUCAACUUACAAUCGACAUGUUCAGCGGGAACUUCCAUUUAUGAAUAAACUGUUAACAAAAUUAGAAUUAUGGAUCUACUUAGGCUUUUCUACCUCAGAAAUAGAUAACCUUAGCUGUAUUUGGCAAACUUUUGAGGAAUUUGUGGUCCUCAAUGCUCUUAAACUUGACCUUUAAACAUUUUUUUAUUUGAGCGUCACUGAUGAGUCUUUAGUAGACGAAACGUGCGUCUGGCGUAAAUGUUAGAUAGCAGAAUAAUCGUCUGAUGAUGAACCGACUUGCUCUAUUUUGACCUAUUGUAUGAGGGUGGAUUCGCCUGUCAAUAAUGACACGCUUAUCAAGAGACGCUUACAACAUCGACGUAUCCGAUUUCUUAAGGUAGAUUCUUGGUAUACCGCCAUCUUGGAUUGUACAAUCACAGUACAAAAUCGGUCUAGUUAUUUGCCUAAAUCUGCAAAUUUGGAGACAGAUUUGCAAUUCAAUGGUUAGACUGUUUUUUCUAAUUGAAGAGAACUUGUUAAUUAAUCGUAUUAUUCAAAAUAUUUUAACAAAAUCAAUUAUUUUGGUAUAAAAAAAAAAAAAAAAAUCAAAUGAGCCAUUUAAUGGGAAAUAACUCUUUUAGUACAAAAUUUAUACUGGGCUAACAGGGAAUUUUUUUAUUUUUACUUGUAGCAAGAAACCAAGUUCGGUGACACCAUGUUUUCUUUUUAUUUUCUUAAAACAUAUUAUGAAACCUUUCUUCUCACAAUUUAUUUCAAAAUUCUAUCUCAUAGAAUUUUUUUUAUGCACACUAAUGUGUUUUUUCAUGAACAAACUAACCAAAUUUUGGCAAUAUCAAAGACCCAUAGCUUGAAAAAUAGCGCGGUGACCCAUACUUUUUAUUAAAUUUUUUAAAAGAGCAUAAUAAAAUCUUCAUUUUGGCAAAUUGUGAAAAAAUUCUGUCUCAAAAAAUAUAUACUUGUGAUCUACCUUAAGACGACGUUUACAAUAUUGUUUCGUUCGCUAAUUUGAAUUGAUUUACCAGAUUUGAACAUCGGUCAACUAAUGUUGUCUUUGAUAAAUAUGACAUUUAAUAUGCACAAAAAUACACCAAGAUGUCGUUAAAUGUAAUUUGAUAACAUUUAUUUAUCAAUCUCAUUCGAUUUAUUAAUUUCAAACAGCGGUAUACUACUGUUGCCUUUAUUUAUACCCUUUAAUUUAAUGCGUUUCAAUAACAUAAGUUUGUUACCCCAAUUUAGUUUUUUGUCCAUGGAUUUAUGAGUUUUGAACAGCGGUAUACUACUGUUGCCUUUAUGUAACAUCGCUGAAAGACCCCUCCUGAUUUACUGAAAACCUUCUUUCUGCAUUGGUAAUAAUAUCUCGGUGUAGAUUAAAUAUACCUGAUAUUCCUUUUCUUGUUUCAAUUUAUAUUUUUUCAUUUGUUAUGGAUUCGAAUUGACAGAUAACGAUUUCUAUGAAAUAAUAUGUUAUGGCAUAUCAGAUCAUAACAGCAACGAUUUACAAUGCAUUUGUUUGUUCAAUUAAAUAUAUAGAUACACUUAUAAUGCAUUGAUAAUGCUAAGUAGCAUUAUACAAACUGAGAGUUAUCUCUCGUUACAAGGUAAAAUAACAACACAAAAUAUUUCAAAUAUAGAUGCUUUAUAUGUCAUCCAUUACACAUACGUAAUGACGCUGAAGUAUAGCGUAAGUCACCCUUAUAGGUUACAAUACACAAUUAGAUUUUAUGGGCGCAGCCAUUUUAUGAACAUAACAUGGUAUUCAGAAUUAAGAGUAUGGCUAAUCCUGAUUGGUCGAUAUGUGCGCCCGUUAUUUUUUUUUUAUUAUAAGAGACUUCUUGCACUCUGCUUUAUACAAGGCAAAAUAAUAAUUAUUCCGUAGCCCUCAAGGCACUGAGAUAACCUAUUUAACGCUAGGACAAGACACGUAUUUUUAAGGGCAAAAUUCAUAGGCAUGGGAGAUAAGUACAAAUUACGUUAAGAAAAGCAACGCGAACAUAUAUUUUUUGGACCAAAAAAUACUGUCCCAAUAACUUUUCUUUGAUUCUAGUAAGGUUUCGUUAAAAAAAUCAACUUUCUAAAGUCUGUAUCUCGAAAAAGGCUACCAUUGUCGCCUAUGGAGAAAUUAAUUGUUUAUUUCAAUCUGUAGACAUCUCAUAUAGAAGGGUCUUACUAUACUAAUUUAAAAAAAAAAAAAAAUGAAGAAUCUACCGUAAAUAAAUUUUUGUGAUUUAUUUUUAAAUAUGAAAUUGACGUUGUUGCCUUGUUGGUUAAUUUUGAAAAGAAGAAUAUGUGUCAACAAAAAAAGAAAAGAAUAGAAAUGGCAAGAACAUAUGUUUAUUUGUUUUCAUAGAGUAAUAAUCGGGCACAAGGUCUGUUUUUGUUUUUAUUCAAAAUUAAAAUUUUCACGAUAGAUGAUUUGAAAAUAAAAUUCAAUACACUUAUGAAUGUUUACGUCUUAGUCUUCAGGUGAAUUACGGAAACUGACAUCAAAAUUUUAUUAAAUUCAGAACGUUACCGAUUUAAUUGGGAUGAACAGUUCAACAGUUCAUAUCCCCCCACAGUUCCUAACAUUUUAAUUUAUUUUUAUUUUCUUUACAGCGGUAAUAAAAAAUCAAAGGGAAGCGUAAACACUUAUAAGUGUGAAAAUUGUUAUUCAAAAGUCUAUAAAUGGCAUUAAUUUGCUACUGGGGGUCAAUUUGAAUUUAACCGAAUGAAUACAUAAUAUUUAGUUUACAUGUUGAUGUUACUUUAUCACUUAAAAUAAGUAAUCAUUUAUACGCCAGUAGCAAAUAAAAUGUGAAUAAAAAUAUUUAGUUUCUUUAAAUUUCACUCAUUAUAUUUUAAAUGGUCAAAUACUAUAUAAAUUGAAAUUAGUUACUCUUAAACAGGACAUUAAACCAAACACCGUCAAUACGUGAGGAUGUUUUAUUUCGGAAAAGGUCUGAUUUUCAUUUUAGUCAUCUCUACAACGAUGGGUUUUGAGAAAAAAAAGGAAUAUGGUAUAUUGAGAGUCCUACACAACCUGAAUACAAUGGAACGUCCUGAUUUGAAUCUUCUCGAAACGAGAGGAACAAUGAAUUCUGCUAAGUGUGCUAAGAAGAAUAAAGUGUUUAAUGCAACAACAGGAAAAUGCAAAAAAUGUCGGGAUGGCGAAAUCUUUCGCAAAGAAACUCUAGAUUGUAUAGUAAAUGGUAUUGGAGGUUUUGGUGGAGCUGGAAUUGGCAGAAAAUAAGGAAUCUACAUACAUGAUCAUAUUUACCCUUUUGAUUAAAAAAUAACCACUACUUAAAAAAGAAACAAAUAGAAAAAACAAAAAAGGAAUUCAAUUUUAGAUUAUUUAAAAAACCAAAUUGUUCGAAAUGCAUUUUUUUUUGUUAUACAAGCUUCGAAUAUAUUUUUAGGAAUGUGUUGGCUUUUUCUCUUAUAAUAAGUACACUUCAAAUUAGUUACUUUUACAUAAUAUGUGAACACACUGUAUGUCUUUGAUCCUCUUAUCAGCUAAUUUGCUAUUUAAAUAAACUUUCAAUUUGUUAAGCAUACUUAUCAAUAUCGGGUCUCUGUAUUCUGCCUCUAUUGUGAGACAUAAUAACGUGUCAUUGUAGUCUUAUAUCUUUUCAUACCAAAGUGUAAACUGUGAAUUGACCGUUUGUGUCCUUUUCCAAAUUAUCAGCGUUUUACCAAGUGUGGAUUUACAUGAAGGGAUAUACAUGCAUAGCAGGAGACCCUAUCUUGUUUUUAUUCGAUUCCCUCCGUUCUUUUGUUACUGUGAUUUGUCUUUUCAAUCGAAUUAUAAGAUUAGAACAUUAGUAAACUAGUCAAAUUGAUAUUUACCGCACUUCCAAAUUUGAAAUUCACGCCCGAGGUACACAAAUAUAUGCUGAUUUCUAUUAAAAAAAAACCCCACUGAUAAUGACCAAUGUCUAAUGUGAUCAGCAUAAUAGAUAUAUAUCAAAUCUGAUGAUACCAAAUACAUAUAUAGCACCCGAACACUUAUGUCAGGACACACCUUGCUCGGUAUUAGGAUGCGAAUUAUUAACAAGUAGAAAUAUUCCAAUCAAAAUAUCAUUUAUUUGAAACGAAGAUCAAAAUUCUUUUCAACAGAACAGGGAUGAUAAUCUUAUAAAGAGUAACAUAUAAAUGCCCCUGAUUUAUUUCCCCUGAUAAAAAGUCAGCCUACAAAAAAAGUGGCGUACAUAAAAGGCCACUUACAAAAGAUGCUGAAUCAUAAAAAGGCCACUUUCAAAAAGUAACAUAUCAUAAAAAGACAUUAACAACAUAUUGGAAAAAAUCAUAAAAAUAAUAUUCACAAAACUCACAUCAUAUUUAAAUAUACAAGAUGGCAAGUUGUUGGGGCGAGGGUGGGAUAAAAAAAAAUGGCAACCGAAAAUUUGCGAUCUUUCUUGUCAGGGGAUAAAUUUUUACGAUGGGACAAUCUGUUAUCUGAUUGGUUGGUUAAAAACAGAUGAAGAUAAUUAUGCCAUUUACACUCAGUCCAAAUUGACUGUUUAAUUCAAAUAGAAUAUUUCCACAUAGACAUAAAUGAAUUUAUAAGAUAAAUAAUAUUUUAUGGCUAAUGUGAUCAGCGUAAUAGAAAUAUAUCAAAGCUUAGGAUACCAAAUAUAGAACCCACCCUAUGACCAAUUAAAAAAAAAAGAAAAGUUCUGAUCAAAAAGUCAUAUAUUAAAAACGACGAUCAAAAUCAUUUAAACAACAGGGGAGAUAAUCUUACAAGGGAUAACAUGUAAAUUCCCCUGAUGAAAAGCCAGCCCACGAAAAAAGGUCAAAACGAAAUACAGGUUUUACUUAAAGCUGAAUGAGCCCACGACACCAUAGAGAUAAGUAUCAGAAAACUAAAAUGGAAAAAGAGAAAAAAAAGUUUAGGUGUUUCUGGUUUAUAAUAUAGAUUAGACUGUUUGUAAUUCUAAUUUGAAUUGUUUUACACUUAUCAUUGUGAUAUCCUUUAUAUUUUUUUGAUCGAUGUGAGCCAUAAUAAUUUGCCUUUAGCUGCCAAUUUGUUUCAAUUUGUCAAUGUAAGCCGAGAAACAUUGCAGCUGAAAUAUUCAUUUGCAAGUGAAUAAUACGACCUCAUUGAAUGCGUAUUCAUGCGACCUUCAAUCUUAUUUCUUAGCUAGGGAUAGUUUAGUCAAUGUAUUCAGCUAUUUAUAUGCCAAUGAGACAAUCUUCAUUCAAGUUGCAAUUUGUAAAAACUUAACAAUGAUAGAUAAAAACGGCCUUUAAAAGGAAGCAUUGGUUCACACCGAACUGCAAGAAUUCACUGAAAAUGAAAGACUGCUUGUUCUGUGCAAUAGGCUUCUCAGAUAUAUGUUUUCAUUAGGAAUUCAUUACGUUCAUUAAAAGCGCACAAUUGCAUGAUCGUUUAAUUCCAAAUAAAACACAAGAUCUACAACUACACAUACUCUAUAUUAUGUCAGCACGAAACAAUGGUUUGGGUAAUAGAACACAAAGAAAACGCACAGGUUGAUUUUCUGAUUUCGACACGGAUUUACUCAAAAUAUUUUUAGGUCAAUACUUGUAUAACCUCAACAAAACAUCUAAACGAUUGCCAUCCCAAAAUUAGUACAAUAAUAAAGUAGGUAAGAACUUUAAAAAUGAAUUCUUCAAGCUUUUUAAACUCUUAAAUUAAAUUAAAUCCCAGUGUAUUUAUUUUUAUCGAAACAUGUGUAUGAAAAGGGUUAAAUAUAGAUUAUAACAAAAGAUUAAUCUACAUAUAAUAAUAAAAUUAAUUUAAAUUUAUUUUAUUAUGAUUUUAAUGACGCAUGUGUUAUUGGUGCGUUCGCAUCAACAUAGGACUACGCAAAUUCUAUUCGAGGAUUGAACACGAUUUUGUAGUUUAUUGACUUGUCAACUGGGCCUAUGUACUAAUUAUAAAUCAAAGUUCAUGCUAGUAAAGUUUGACACUUACAUUUGUUAGUUUGAAUUAAUCCUCAUAAAUGGAAACAUUGCGAUUUUUUUUUAUUAAAGAAGGUGAUUUGAAUAAAAAGGUUUGGUCCAAGGUUUUCGUCAAUCAAACCAGGAGAUUAGACGUAACGCCAUAUUAAAUUUGAACUAACUCAUCUUACCUACCAUUCACGUUAUUGAAUUCAUGUCAAGGAACAGACAAGACAAAUGAUCAAAUUGAUCUACUUCGUAACUUGUUAUUGGAAGAUGAAAUCAAAGAAUGUGACAAAGGAUUCUCUUACAAUGUACUGACAGAAGAAUGUGAAAAUGAUGAUGAUAAAUCCAACCGUUCUGGAAGACCAGAAAAGCUAACGGACCCCGUGAAUGUCCUUCGUAAACUUUUGUUGGGAGAUAGAGAGCAAUACCAGUGCAACGAAGAAGGGUUUUCUUACAAUAGAUUGACAAGAAAAUGUGAAGAUGACGAUGAAAGAUCCAAUCUUUCUGAAAGAAAUGGAUGUUGUAAUGGUGGCAACAGUGGUUAAAACAGAAGAAACACAUAAUUAUUGUUAUAAAUAAAUAUAUAGAUGCAUCGUCA
Mytilus trossulus (common blue mussel) is the source of this 7480-nucleotide RNA transcript. RefSeq lists it as uncharacterized. The transcript is spliced from 9 exons. The record is from RefSeq and is a predicted model, not a curated record. Lineage: Eukaryota; Metazoa; Mollusca; Bivalvia; Mytilida; Mytilidae.